UACGUAGGGUGCGAGCGUUGUCCGGAAUUAUUGGGCGUAAAGAGCUUGUAGGCGGGUUGUCGCGUCUGCUGUGAAAAUCCGGGGCUCAACCCCGGACUUGCAGUGGGUACGGGCAGACUAGAGUGUGGUAGGGGAGACUGGAAUUCCUGGUGUAGCGGUGAAAUGCGCAGAUAUCAGGAGGAACACCGAUGGCGAAGGCAGGUCUCUGGGCCACUACUGACGCUGAGAAGCGAAAGCGUGGGGAGCGAACAGG
This 253-nucleotide ribosomal RNA is filed under the name uncultured bacterium. RNAcentral's name for it is "partial 16S ribosomal RNA". It matches the Rfam family "Bacterial small subunit ribosomal RNA", at positions 524 to 776 of the family's 1533-position model. The record is from RNAcentral.